GACGAACGCUGGCGGCGUGCUUAACACAUGCAAGUCGAACGGACAGGCCCUGCUUGUGUGGGGUGCUCGAGUGGCGAACGGGUGAGUAACACGCGAGUAACCUGCACUAGACCUUGGGAUAAUUUCCGGAAACUGGGGACAAUACCGGACAGGAGCGCCUACCGCAUGGAGGGGGUUGGAACGUUUGGGUGGUUGGGGAUGGACUCGAGGCUUAUCAGCUUGUUGGAGGGGUAGUGGCUUACCAAGGCUUUGACGGGUAGCUGGCCUGAGAGGGUGACCGGCCACAUUGGGACUGAGAUACGGCCCAGACUCCUACGGGAGGCAGCAGUGGGGAAUAUUGCACAAUGGGCGGCAGCCUGAUGCAGCAACGCCGCGUGCGGGAUGACGGCCUUCGGGUUGUAAACCGCUUUCGCCUGUGACGAAGCGUGAGUGACGGUAAUGGGUAAAGAAGCACCGGCUAACUACGUG
RNAcentral lists this ribosomal RNA (468 nucleotides) under uncultured bacterium. Its description in RNAcentral is "partial 16S ribosomal RNA". It matches the Rfam family "Bacterial small subunit ribosomal RNA", at positions 28 to 507 of the family's 1533-position model. The record is from RNAcentral.